UACAGAGGUCCCAAGCGUUGUUCGGAAUUACUGGGCGUAAAGGGCUCGUAGGCGGCCAACUAAGUCGGACGUGAAAUCCCUCGGCUUAACCGGGGAACUGCGUCCGAUACUGGAUGGCUGGAGGUUGGGAGAGGGAUGCGGAAUUCCAGGUGUAGCGGUGAAAUGCGUAGAUAUCUGGAGGAACACCGGUGGCGAAGGCGGCAUCCUGGACCAAUUCUGACGCUGAGGAGCGAAAGCCAGGGGAGCAAACGGG
This 253-nucleotide ribosomal RNA is filed under the name uncultured bacterium. RNAcentral's name for it is "partial 16S ribosomal RNA". It matches the Rfam family "Bacterial small subunit ribosomal RNA", at positions 524 to 776 of the family's 1533-position model. The record is from RNAcentral.